AUUGAACGCUGGCGGCAGGCCUAACACAUGCAAGUCGAGCGGAUGAAGGGAGCUUGCCCCUGGAUUCAGCGGCGGACGGGUGAGUAAUGCCUAGGAAUCUGCCUGGUAGUGGGGGAUAACGUCCGGAAACGGGCGCUAAUACCGCAUACGUCCUGAGGGAGAAAGAGGGGGAUCUUCGGACCUCACGCUAUCAGAUGAGCCUAGGUCGGAUUAGCUAGUUGGUGGGGUAAAGGCCUACCAAGGCGACGAUCCGUAACUGGUCUGAGAGGAUGAUCAGUCACACUGGAACUGAGACACGGUCCAGACUCCUACGGGAGGCAGCAGUGGGGAAUAUUGGACAAUGGGCGAAAGCCUGAUCCAGCCAUGCCGCGUGUGUGAAGAAGGUCUUCGGAUUGUAAAGCACUUUAAGUUGGGAGGAAGGGCAGUAAGUUAAUACCUUGCUGUUUUGACGUUACCAACAGAAUAAGCACCGGCUAACUUCGUG
Molecule: ribosomal RNA, 484 nt
Filed under: uncultured bacterium
Lineage: Bacteria
Description: partial 16S ribosomal RNA
Rfam family: Bacterial small subunit ribosomal RNA
Source: RNAcentral